Molecule: long non-coding RNA, 738 nt
Organism: Camelina sativa (false flax)
Lineage: Eukaryota; Viridiplantae; Streptophyta; Magnoliopsida; Brassicales; Brassicaceae
Source: RefSeq, a predicted model, not a curated record
CUCUUAAAAACGACUAAAACUCUGUUUUUUUUUUCUUUCCAUGUCCGAAUAUGUUCUUCCACUUACGUUUUCAAGUCAAAAUUAUGGUUCUCAGUUCUCACACCCUCAAAGACAACACAUAGAGGCAGCAUCACCCUUCAAUUAAAGAUGGCAGUGAAACGAAAGAAGCUUGAUUCGUGUGUGAAUUCGUCUAUGCCUUUCAUCGUCCAUCUUAAUUGGUGCAGGAGACUAAAUCUCUAAGUAUUGUAUGUUAGGAUUUAAAUGAGAAUGAAUGAUGUAUAGAGUUUAUGUGUGUAUUAGAUGUAUGUAUAGGGCUAUUGUAUGCGUGUUGUCGUGUUGAUGUAUGAAUAUGUAGGGUUAUUGUGUGCGUGUGUGUGUGUUAGAUGUAUGAAUAGGGGUCAACGUAGCGACAAAUGCUGCAUAAUAGCGAAUACGCUAUAUGCAAAACAAGUAACAAAAUCACGAACAAAACACACCACACGAACACAUCCGAAAACAAAACACAAGACAUCAAAAGCAGCAGCUAUAAAAGCACAAAGUAACAAACAAAAUCACGAAUACAAUAUUCGAAUACAAUAGGACGGAGGUAAGGACGGAAUCUGAAUCCCACCGGAUUCACCAUUGUCGCUGUUCUGCGGUAGGAAGGACGAAGUUGUGUUUUUAUUUAUUUAUUUAUCAUAAGUUAAAGCUUAAUUAUAUAAAGACAGUGACGGGAUCGAGUGACGUCAACUUGUGCGA